UCCCUCCUAAACCAGCCGCAGCCAAUAGCCAUCCGUAGCAGAAACCCUAACCCCCUCGAGCCCUCUCUCUCAACCUCUGUAGCGCCGAAUCUCAGCGGAAGCUCUUCCUUCUUCUUCUCUGCCAUCGACGCCGCCGGACAGCACCUUCGCAGCGGCGCGGCUCUUUUCUCUUCCUCUCUCUUCCUUGUAGCUUGUAGCGCUUCUCUUUCUGCCUCAGCCUCGACAGCUCCCACACCACCUCUCCAGCAGCCGUCACCUCCAUGAACCAACAGCUGCUGUCUUCUUCGACGAACCGCAGCAGCACGCACCAGACGCAGUCAAAGCAACCACCGUUCAUCGUCCGUCUCUCGUUCGUCGUUGAUCUGUCCAGUCUCUCUGGUCUUUGGUUCGUCGUCGCCGCCGUCUUACCAUCCUACACCUCCAUCGUCCUCUGCAAUGGAGCCUAAGUCUCAGGAAAGAAGAAAGUGAAAGAGGAAGAACUUGUGAAAUUGGUGCACCACAUGAACAUUUAUGGAAUUAGUUUGGGUGUAUUUUUUAUUCAGUUUGGUUCUAUUUCUUGAUUUAGUUUGGAAUUGAUGCACCAUUUUUGCAAAAAUUUUGGAAUGAGUUUGCUUGUAUUUCUUUACUUUCUUGAUUCAGUUCAGGCUGAUUAUUGUUCCAUCUGUUUCCCAUGUUUUUGCAACUUGCUAAUGAUUUUAAUUUGUUGUGCUUCUGCUAAUUUGUUAGUGAUUUAUGAGUCAAGUUGAUCAUUGUUCCAUUGUUCCAUUGUUGAUUUUGCGAAAUUGUUAAUUAUUUUAGUACC
Molecule: long non-coding RNA, 802 nt
Organism: Arachis ipaensis
Lineage: Eukaryota; Viridiplantae; Streptophyta; Magnoliopsida; Fabales; Fabaceae
Source: RefSeq, a predicted model, not a curated record